GGUGGUGCAGUGGUUAAGCAUUUGGCUGCUAACCAAAAAGUUGGUGGUUUGAAUCCACCCACCACUC
RNAcentral lists this transfer RNA (67 nucleotides) under Loxodonta africana (African savanna elephant). It matches the Rfam family "tRNA". Rfam says of the family: Transfer RNA (tRNA) molecules are approximately 80 nucleotides in length. Their secondary structure includes four short double-helical elements and three loops (D, anti-codon, and T loops). Lineage: Eukaryota; Metazoa; Chordata; Mammalia; Proboscidea; Elephantidae. The record is from Rfam by way of RNAcentral.